Ziziphus jujuba (common jujube) is the source of this 689-nucleotide long non-coding RNA. RefSeq lists it as uncharacterized. The record is from RefSeq and is a predicted model, not a curated record. NCBI's taxonomy places the organism in Eukaryota, Viridiplantae, Streptophyta, Magnoliopsida, Rosales, Rhamnaceae. The transcript is spliced from 2 exons.
UAUAUGUAAUUGACUGGGGUGUAUCCAAAACUAUAUGAAUACAUAUGUAUAGGUUUGACUUUGCUUCCGAAGCUUCUGGUCCCUUGGUCAAGUGAGUGAGUUGUGACCACUAGCUAGCGUUUAGACUAGGAGAAAAUGAGGCUCCCUUCACACGGCGAGAGAGACGCCCUUUGCAUUUCAUGGCAGUAUUUAUAAAUAGACAAUUUAAAGCAAGAAAUUUCGUCCCAAAUUCAUCGAUGGGAAUGCUUGAAAAUCAGAUGGGUCUGUUUUCCAAUUUCCGUAUUAUCUUCUUUAUUGUAUUGAUUGCUUCUUUGCUAAUCAUGCAAUCAAAUCUGGUUAAUGCACGAGAUCCACCAGCCCAAUCAAAAAGCCCACCCACUCCCAGCAGAGCAACGCAGUCAGGAAAAAAUGGUUGAUUUGAUCCAUCUUUUUCCUUAGUCAAAAAAAAAAAAAAAAAAAAAAGGUUCUGCCACCUUGUUAGUUUCUUAUUUGUUUUUCAGUGUGGAAAAUAUAUUUGUAUGAUCGGCUAGGAAAUCAAAAAUAUAUUUCUUUUAUAUUAUUUUGCUCCUGGUUUCAUAGCCAAUACAUGUGCUUUUUAGCUUAUUAACAAGCCAAAGUGUAAUAAAUAGAUAGUGUAGUGUGUAUCAUUUGAAGUAUCAUAUAUUCUAUCUUUUGAUUGGUUAAUGAAA